GGUUCCCUACGGGGCGCAGCAGUAGGGAAUCUUCCACAAUGGGCGAAAGCCUGAUGGAGCAACGCCGCGUGGGUGAAGAAGGUCUUCGGAUCGUAAAACCCUGUUUUUAGAGAAGAAAGUGCGUGAGAGUAACUGUUCACGUUUCGACGGUAUCUAACCAGAAAGCCACGGCUAACUACGUGCCAGCAGCCGCGGUUAUACGUAUGUGGCAAGCGUUAUCCGGAUUUAUUGGGCGUAAAGGGAAC
RNAcentral lists this ribosomal RNA (245 nucleotides) under uncultured bacterium. RNAcentral's name for it is "partial 16S ribosomal RNA". It matches the Rfam family "Bacterial small subunit ribosomal RNA", at positions 333 to 570 of the family's 1533-position model. The record is from RNAcentral.